This 380-nucleotide ribosomal RNA is filed under the name uncultured eukaryote. RNAcentral describes it as "partial 18S ribosomal RNA". It matches the Rfam family "Eukaryotic small subunit ribosomal RNA", at positions 592 to 976 of the family's 1831-position model. The record is from RNAcentral.
CAAUAGCGUAUAUUAAAGUUGUUGCGGUUAAAAAGCUCGUAGUUGGGUUUCUGCCGAGGACGACCGGUCCGCCCUCCGGGUGAGUAUCUGGCUCGGCCUGGGCAUCUUCUUGGAGAACGUAACUGCACUUGGCUGUGUGGUGCGGUAUUCAGGACUUUUACUUUGAGGAAAUUAGAGUGUUUCAAGCAGGCACACGCCUUGAAUACAUUAGCAUGGAAUAAUAAGAUAGGACCUCGGUUCUAUUUUGUUGGUUUCUAGAUCUGAGGUAAUGAUUAAUAGGGACAGUUGGGGGUAUUCGUAUUCCGUUGUCAGAGGUGAAAUUCUUGGAUUUACGGAAGACGAACUACUGCGAAAGCGUUUACCAAGGAUGUUUUCAUUAA